RNAcentral lists this non-coding RNA (236 nucleotides) under Brevibacillus panacihumi. RNAcentral describes it as "T-box sequence". It matches the Rfam family "T-box leader". Rfam says of the family: Uncharged tRNA acts as the effector for transcription antitermination of genes in the T-box leader family. T-boxes are found upstream of many aminoacyl-tRNA synthetase genes and some amino acid biosynthetic genes usually in Gram-positive bacteria. The anticodon of a specific tRNA base pairs to a specifier sequence within the T-box motif, and the NCCA acceptor tail of the tRNA base pairs to a conserved bulge in the T-box antiterminator hairpin. The record is from RNAcentral. Lineage: Bacteria; Bacillati; Bacillota; Bacilli; Caryophanales; Paenibacillaceae.
AUCAAAGCGAUGAUCAGGAGAAGUACAGGAGUGAAUGCGUCCACAGAGAGGAUGGAUAGGUGAGAGCCAUCUGCGCAUGCUGUCUGGAAAUGCCCCUGUGAGCAAUGAGCAGAACGCACGGGUUUUUGGUGCAAGUAUGCGACAUCGGCGCCCCGCCGUUACCGGGUGUAAAGCGAGACUGUCCUUUUAUGGAUGAUCUAAGCAGAGUGGAACCGCGGUAGAAAACCGUCUCUGUC